UUCCUCAGUGCUGAGGAUCGUGACCUUCGC
RNAcentral lists this small RNA (30 nucleotides) under Bombyx mori (domestic silkworm). RNAcentral's name for it is "ovarian small RNA-37298". The record is from RNAcentral. Lineage: Eukaryota; Metazoa; Arthropoda; Insecta; Lepidoptera; Bombycidae.